GAAAUGCGAUAAGUAAUGUGAAUUGCAGAAUUCAGUGAAUCAUCGAAUCUUUGAACGCACAGUGCGCCCGGGAGCAUUCUCCCGGGCAUGCCUGUUCGAGCGUCAUUUCAACCCUCGACCUCCCCUUGGGGAGGCCGGCCGUUGGAGAUCGGCAGCGAUUGCCGGCUCCCAAAUUCAGUGGCGACCCGCCGCGGGGACCCCUGCGCAGUAACAUACACUCGCACCGGAAACCAGACGUGUCACGCCGUAAAACCCCAACUUUCUGAACGUUGACCUCGGAUCAGGUAGGAAUACCCGCUGAACUUAAGC
RNAcentral lists this unclassified non-coding RNA (309 nucleotides) under plant metagenome. Its description in RNAcentral is "partial contains 5.8S ribosomal RNA, internal transcribed spacer 2, and large subunit ribosomal RNA". The stretch from base 1 to 105 matches the Rfam family "5.8S ribosomal RNA", at positions 50 to 154 of the family's 154-position model. The record is from RNAcentral.